UGAACAGCGUCAGAAAGAAUGGGAGUGGGUUAUUGGAUACACACGGAGAUAAAUUUGUAGUCAAAUGAGUCCAAACAAAUACAAACAUCAGGAGCUUUGACCAACUGGCAUAAAUUUUGGCUAACAUACGACAUCGAUAGCGUCCCCUCCCGAUACACUAUUCUCUCAAUCUUGCGCAGAGCUGCCAGCAAAACAAAAACAAACCCUCGAGAAAAUAAGGAGUGAGCCAUCUUAACCAUGGCCUCCAUAUCUCCCGAACAGCUAAAGGUACUCGAACAAACCCGCCAACGCCUAGUCCAAUUAACUCAAUCGCUCGCAUCGCUCAUCAACAACAUAAACCAAAGCGACCCCCUCCCAUCCUGGUCUUCCCUCCAAUCCCAGGCUACCAUCAUCUCCAACAAUCUCCUCAAUGUCUCUCAACAACUUACAGACCACCAUGACCUCCUCUCAUCGCUAGUCGCGUACCCAACCCCUCAAUUCCCCGGCCGCACCGAAGCCGCCAUGCUCUCGCAACUGCUGCGCACCAAACUGGAGCCGCGUGUCGAGGAUUGGGUCUCCCAGGGCCUGUCUAUGGGCAACCCGGAUGCCACUAGACUUAGAACGGGCUUGACAGAACAGCAGCUGUUAGAGCUGUGGCGAUGGGGCCCUAUCGAAGCGAAC
Molecule: small RNA, 660 nt
Filed under: Histoplasma ohiense
Lineage: Eukaryota; Fungi; Ascomycota; Eurotiomycetes; Onygenales; Ajellomycetaceae
Description: hypothetical lncRNA
Source: RNAcentral